UGGGACGUCGCCAAGCGGUAAGGCAGCGGAUUUUGAUUCCGCCAUGCGGAGGUUCGAAUCCUCCCGUCCCAG
RNAcentral lists this transfer RNA (72 nucleotides) under Acidocella sp. MX-AZ02. It matches the Rfam family "tRNA". From Rfam's summary of the family: Transfer RNA (tRNA) molecules are approximately 80 nucleotides in length. Their secondary structure includes four short double-helical elements and three loops (D, anti-codon, and T loops). Further hydrogen bonds mediate the characteristic L-shaped molecular structure. tRNAs have two regions of fundamental functional importance: the anti-codon, which is responsible for specific mRNA codon recognition, and the 3' end, to which the tRNAs corresponding amino acid is attached (by aminoacyl-tRNA synthetases). tRNAs cope with the degeneracy of the genetic code in two manners: having more than one tRNA (with a specific anti-codon) for a particular amino acid; and 'wobble' base-pairing, i.e. permitting non-standard base-pairing at the 3rd anti-codon position. Lineage: Bacteria; Pseudomonadati; Pseudomonadota; Alphaproteobacteria; Acetobacterales; Acidocellaceae. The record is from Rfam by way of RNAcentral.